AACCCUGAUGCAGCAACGCCGCGUGAGUGAAGAAGGCAUUCGUGUCGUAAAACUCUGUAGUAGGGGAAGAAAGAAAUGACAGUACCCUAAAAGAAAGCCCCGGCUAACUACGUGCCAGCAGCCGCGGUAAUACGUAGGGGGCAAGCGUUAUCCGGAAUAACUGGGCGUAAAGGGUGCGCAGGUGGUUUAACAAGUUAGUGGUGAAAGGCAUAGGCUCAACCAAUGUAAGCCAUUAAAACUGUUUAACUUGAGUGCAGGAGAGGAAAGUGUAAUUCCUAGUGUAGCGGUGAAAUGCGUAGAUAUUAGGAGGAAUACCAGUGGCGAAGGCGACUUUCUGGACUGCAACUGACACUGAGGCACGAAAGCGUGGGGAGCAAACAGGAUUAGAUACCCUGGUAGUCCACGCCGUAAACGAUGAGUACUAGGUGUCGGGUGAAGAACUCGGUGCCGAAGUUAACACAUUAAGUACUCCGCCUGGGGAGUACGCUCGCAAGAGUAAAACUCAAAGGAAUUGACGGGGACCCGCACAAGCAGCGGAGCAUGUGGUUUAAUUCGAAGCAAGCGAAGAACCUACCUAGACUGACAUACCAAUGACAGCCUUUAAUCGAGGACUUUACCUUCGGGUAGAC
Molecule: ribosomal RNA, 629 nt
Filed under: Filifactor alocis
Lineage: Bacteria; Bacillati; Bacillota; Clostridia; Peptostreptococcales; Filifactoraceae
Description: bacterial SSU rRNA
Rfam family: Bacterial small subunit ribosomal RNA
Source: RNAcentral